GGCUUGCUGUGAGAACAGAAUGAGCAAAUAUAUGUGUAAACUCACCAUUAGUAAGAGUGUACAUAUUACCCCCUUUAUCAGUAAGGUGAGGCUGAGUUAUGUUGUUGCAACAAGCAAUUCCACACCACGUCUGUCUUAGAAUAGCUCAGGUUUAUUCCUCACUCAUGUGCGUGGCCUUGAGGAAUGACCUCCCCUCCGAUUUCCUCUUCAUUCUGGGACCCAGGCUGAAAAAAGCAACUUCUAAAUGAGACAUGCUGCUCUCAUGGCAGAGGUAAAAGAUAAAAUAGAACAUUGUGAUCAUGGAUAGUUUGGGCAAAGGAGGAGAAGUGAGCGUGGUCAGGUCAGAAGGAGGGGUGCUGAGCCCAUUUGCCAUCUGGGUGUGGGUCGGGGGUUGCAGAGAAUAGAGUGUGUCAAAAACGUGCAAUUGAUGAAAGUCUAUGAAAGCCAUACCAAAGGAUAGUCCAACAGGCUCCUCCUCCCCUCCUGUUCCACUCCAGACUUCACCGCAUCUAUCCUUUAUGAUGGGCUGUAAGUGAGGGGGAGAGUUGAAUUUGAAGGGCACCCAUGAGGCAGAACUUGCUGAUUGGCUGAUGAGUGAAUACGAAAGAAGAGCCUGAACAGAUGCCACAGCUGCAAGAUCUUCUGAAGUCUGAGUAAAGGGGCUCUCAUUAGCACAGAUGGGAAAGUUUGAAGGGCUAUUAAUCUCAGUGAGAUUUAUUUGGAAAAGUAAUUUUCAUCAAAUUAUAUUUCAAUUUGAGUAAGAUAUUCACUUGGCAUUAGCCCUUUAGGGGAUCAGAGACCAUGUCUUAAAGGAGAGUUCAAGAAGCAUGCAGAAUACCACUGAGGCAAAGGAGAGAAAUUGAUCCUGUGGGUCCUAGUGGACCCCAGUAAAUGGACUUCCUAUCUCACUGCUUGCUACCCAGCUGGUAGAGAAUAUUUCUCACGGAUGCACAGUUAAAAUCUGUCUUCCCACCUGAAUUAACUUUUGUCAACAUUUUGUCAUAUACUUCCCAGAGACACCUAACAACAUUUUUUCCACUUAAACUAUACUCUCUGUAAUGAGCCUCGAUUAAGCUGCCUAAAGAAGCAGGCAUGGUAGGCGAGGUGUCCAGCAAUUGAAGCUAGAAGUGGGUAAGAGCACUACUAACCAGCCAUGCCCUGAGGAAAAAAAAAAAUGUGUUCUAAGAAUUUACUAAAAUAAUGUCUCCCAGCACAUCAUUAUUUAAGCUCCAGUUCCUGCUCAGCAUGAGUGCUGUGCCAAAAGUGGGUUAAAGGGCAUUUCAGAUUAAUUUGGAGGGAGCCUGACUCAGCAGGUUAACAUUCAUC
This 1326-nucleotide long non-coding RNA is filed under the name Homo sapiens (human). RNAcentral's name for it is "HSALNT0324002". Lineage: Eukaryota; Metazoa; Chordata; Mammalia; Primates; Hominidae. The record is from RNAcentral.